This 28-nucleotide non-coding RNA is filed under the name Bombyx mori (domestic silkworm). The record is from RNAcentral. Lineage: Eukaryota; Metazoa; Arthropoda; Insecta; Lepidoptera; Bombycidae.
UGACACAGUAGAUAAUUUCGGCUUUGUU